AACGUACGCUGGCGGCACGCCUAACACAUGCAAGUCGAACGCAGUAGCAAUACUGAGUGGCAGACGGGUGAGUAACAUGUGGGAAUCUGCCUUGUGGUUCAGGACAACAUUGGGAAACCGAUGCUAAUACUGGAUAAGCCCUUACGGGGAAAGUUUUAAUGCCAUAAGAUGAGCCCGCAUUUGAUUAGUUAGUUGGUGAGGUAAUGGCUCACCAAGACAAUGAUCAAUAGCUGAUCUGAGAGGAUGAUCAGCCACACUGGGACUGAGACACGGCCCAGACUCCUACGGGAGGCAGCAGUGGGGAAUCUUGCACAAUGGAGGAAACUCUGAUGCAGCGAUGCCGCGUGAGUGAAGAAGGCCUUUGGGUUGUAAAGCUCUUUUGUAGGGGAAGAUAAUGACUGUACCC
Molecule: ribosomal RNA, 406 nt
Filed under: uncultured bacterium
Lineage: Bacteria
Description: bacterial SSU rRNA
Rfam family: Bacterial small subunit ribosomal RNA
Source: RNAcentral